AUCGAGUGCUUCUGGUGUACCAAUCUUCUCAAGCAUCUUGUCGACCAGUGAAUCUACUCGACUAACAAAGAACGAAGCAACACUUGUCACUCGUGACAGGUCAUCGAGCCCAGAUGCCUCGAGACCGUCCAGUGCAAUGACUUCCUUGAUUGAGGGAAUGCAAGGAGCUGUAGCGGGAAUUUUGAUGUAGACAUUUGAGCGAUUAACCCAUUUAUGAAGCCAUUUAGCAGCCUCUAUUGUGUUUUCGGUAUCAUCCGCGAGUCGUGGUGAAACUUCGACAGAGACGUAUCCAUCAGCCCCAUCUGUUUCGUCGUAAAUCGCCUCGAAAAGUUUGCAUGCAUCUUGGAUAUCUUUCACCACAAGUUCCCAGUACGCACUUUCUAUGUCUUUUCCGGAUUGCACUAGUUCCCUGCAUUUAUUUAUUCACAUAUAUAUGAUACUGUAAUUAAGCUGCAAGCCCCUUUCUCAAAAAACCAACAAAAUCGAUGGUAAAUUUAUAUCAGGAAAAUCGAAAUAAAAAGGGUCCAAAGUUUUUUUUAAUGGAAUAGGGUUAUUUACUCUCGA
Erythranthe guttata (spotted monkey flower) is the source of this 564-nucleotide non-coding RNA. NCBI's taxonomy places the organism in Eukaryota, Viridiplantae, Streptophyta, Magnoliopsida, Lamiales, Phrymaceae. The record is from RefSeq and is a predicted model, not a curated record.